Molecule: transfer RNA, 72 nt
Filed under: Marmota monax (woodchuck)
Lineage: Eukaryota; Metazoa; Chordata; Mammalia; Rodentia; Sciuridae
Description: tRNA.Undet
Source: RNAcentral
UGUGCAUGUAGCUCAGUGGUAGAGUGCUUGCCAGCAUGCACAAGGCCCUGGGUCCAAUCCCCAGCACCACAA